This 558-nucleotide long non-coding RNA is filed under the name Phoenix dactylifera (date palm). RNAcentral's name for it is "long non-coding RNA (PDAC_LNC008503)". Lineage: Eukaryota; Viridiplantae; Streptophyta; Magnoliopsida; Arecales; Arecaceae. The record is from RNAcentral.
AUUAAGUUCACUAUCAUCCAAUGCACAAUAUAGAAUAUUCAUGGCUUUUGCAUUUUGCUGAGCCAUUUUCUUAUCAUGAUUAGCAUUUGUAUGUAGCCCAUUGACUAUGAUACUCCAUAAAUCGUAGUCAUGUGCUUGAAUGAAAAUGCGCAUGCGUGCUUUCCAAUAUGUGUAGUUUAUACCAUUAAAUAGUGGAGGUCUAUCUGUGAAUUGUCCCUCACUCAUAGAACAUCCAACUUGGGUUGUCAUGAUCUUUAACUCUUGAUUGUGAGAUCAAUGAGUACUAUUGGAGCACCUCGCUCUGAUACCACUUGUUGCCCAAGGUGACAAGCCAAGAGGGGGGGUGAAUUGGUUUCUUUUAAUUUUAACUAUCUUACUUGUGUUAAAUGAUGAGUUAGUGAACUUAAACAAAUCACAAUACAAACAACAAAAAGUAUAGUGGUUCGGUGCUCUCCUUAGCACCUACGUCCACUCCCCAAGCAACCCCUUGGGAAUUCACUAUAAUCCCGCGGAUUACAGUUGGAUUGUUUUCCGGGCUCACAAUCCAAAAAUCUUUAC